This 488-nucleotide ribosomal RNA is filed under the name uncultured Curtobacterium sp. Its description in RNAcentral is "bacterial SSU rRNA". It matches the Rfam family "Bacterial small subunit ribosomal RNA", at positions 9 to 507 of the family's 1533-position model. The record is from RNAcentral. Lineage: Bacteria; Bacillati; Actinomycetota; Actinomycetes; Micrococcales; Microbacteriaceae.
GUAGUUCGAUCCGUGGCUACGAGGACGACGCUGGCGGCGUGCUUAACACAUGCAAGUCGAACGAUGAUCAGGAGCUUGCUCCUGUGAUUAGUGGCGAACGGGUGAGUAACACGUGAGUAACCUGCCCCUGACUCUGGGAUAAGCGUUGGAAACGACGUCUAAUACUGGAUAUGAUCACUGGCCGCAUGGUCUGGUGGUGGAAAGAUUUUUGGUUGGGGAUGGACUCGCGGCCUAUCAGCUUGUUGGUGAGGUAAUGGCUCACCAAGGCGACGACGGGUAGCCGGCCUGAGAGGGUGACCGGCCACACUGGGACUGAGACACGGCCCAGACUCCUACGGGAGGCGGCAGUGGGGAAUAUUGCACAAUGGGCGAAAGCCUGAUGCAGCAACGCCGCGUGAGGGAUGACGGCCUUCGGGUUGUAAACCUCUUUUAGUAGGGAAGAAGCGAAAGUGACGGUACCUGCAGAAAAAGCACCGGCUAACUACGUG